RNAcentral lists this transfer RNA (69 nucleotides) under Ictidomys tridecemlineatus (thirteen-lined ground squirrel). RNAcentral describes it as "Spermophilus tridecemlineatus (thirteen-lined ground squirrel) tRNA". It matches the Rfam family "tRNA". From Rfam's summary of the family: Transfer RNA (tRNA) molecules are approximately 80 nucleotides in length. Their secondary structure includes four short double-helical elements and three loops (D, anti-codon, and T loops). Lineage: Eukaryota; Metazoa; Chordata; Mammalia; Rodentia; Sciuridae. The record is from Rfam by way of RNAcentral.
GGGGCUGUAGCUCAGUGGUAGAGCGCCAGCCUCGCAUGUAUGAGACACUGGGUUCAAUCCUCAGCACCA